Molecule: ribosomal RNA, 657 nt
Filed under: uncultured Actinomycetes bacterium
Lineage: Bacteria; Bacillati; Actinomycetota; Actinomycetes
Description: bacterial SSU rRNA
Rfam family: Bacterial small subunit ribosomal RNA
Source: RNAcentral
UUCGGGGGUACACGAGCGGCGAACGGGUGAGUAACACGUGAGUAAUCUGCCCUUCACUUGGGGAUAAGCUUCGGAAACGGGGUCUAAUACCUGAUACGACACCUUCUUGCAUGAGAUGGGUGUGGAAAGUUUUUCGGUGGAGGAUGUGCUCGCGGCCUAUCAGCUUGUUGGUGGGGUAAUGGCCUACCAAGGCUUCGACGGGUAGCCGGCCUGAGAGGGUGACCGGCCACACUGGGACUGAGACACGGCCCAGACUCCUACGGGAGGCAGCAGUGGGGAAUAUUGGACAAUGGGCGGAAGCCUGAUCCAGCAACGCCGCGUGAGGGAUGACGGCCUUCGGGUUGUAAACCUCUUUCAGUACCGACGAAGCGCCCGUUGUGGGUGGUGACGGUAGGUACAGAAGAAGCACCGGCCAACUACGUGCCAGCAGCCGCGGUAAUACGUAGGGUGCGAGCGUUGUCCGGAAUUAUUGGGCGUAAAGGGCUCGUAGGCGGUUUGUCGCGUCGGGAGUGAAAACACCGGGCUUAACUCGGUGCUUGCUUUCGAUACGGGCAGACUAGAGGUAUGCAGGGGAGAACGGAAUUCCUGGUGUAGCGGUGGAAUGCGCAGAUAUCAGGAGGAACACCGGUGGCGAAGGCGGUUCUCUGGGCAUUACCU